Long non-coding RNA from Oncorhynchus tshawytscha (Chinook salmon), 1006 nucleotides. Lineage: Eukaryota; Metazoa; Chordata; Actinopteri; Salmoniformes; Salmonidae. The record is from Ensembl.
CUCCACAGGAUGUUUUGAAAGUGAAAACAUGGACGACGAUUUCAAGACUUGCUGCUAUCGAAUACAGAUCGCCCCGUGAUCAAUCUAAUAGACUAUUAACGUUUAUUAAUACCUAAAGUUGGUUUAGAAAAGCAAUUUGAAGUGAUUUGUAAAAGUUUAUAGGUAACUUUUGUAAUUUUAAAAAGUGACGUUGCGUCAUGUAAAGGUGCAUUUUUCUGGAUCAGACCGGUCGUCAGCAAAUCACAUUUUGGGUAUACAAUGACGGAUUUAAUCGGGAAAAAGACCCAAUUGUGAUGUUUAUGUGACAUAUAGGAGUGCCAAGAAAGAAGCUCGUCAAAGCUGCCCUCCUCAGGACACAAUUGACCAGACCAGGACCAGCAGACUGCCAACCACCUGGCGCAGACCAGACAGCAGAGUCACCACAAGAACUAGAGGAAGGGGACCGGAACGGACCAAAAAACCACCAACACCCAGCUGAACAAGAUGACCUGGAUGAUCCCAUGAGCAAUGCGACGCGAUAAGGCUAACGCUAAUCCCAAACGAGGAGGCUGCCGAGGACAGAGCCGCCAAUCACCUGGGAGCAGCAACAACUACUACCACCAGACCUGAAAACAGUACCCACCUGGAAUUCAGCAGGGUAGUUCUCCAGAGAUGUAUGGGCUUUUCUCAGAGCAUACCUUCUCUCCAAAACGGAAUCCAAGGAACUCUGGAGCUCUGUCAGAGUAACCAUCUGGUUCUUGGUUACCUCCAUGACCAAGGCCCUUCUCCCCCCAGAUCUGUCUCGGAGCUCUACGGACAAUUCCUGUCAACUGUGGGACCUUAUAUAGACAGGACCUGAGCCCUAGGACCAUGCCCCAGGACUACCUGACAUGAUGACUCCUUGCUGUCCCCAGUCCACCUGGCCGUGCUGCUGCUCCAGUUUCAACUGUUCUGCCUUAUUAUUAUUCGACCAUUCUGGUCAUUUAUGAACAUUUAAACAUCUUGGUCAUGUUCUGUUAUAAUCUCC